This 85-nucleotide transfer RNA is filed under the name Lachnospira pectinoschiza. RNAcentral describes it as "tRNA-Leu". It matches the Rfam family "tRNA". From Rfam's summary of the family: Transfer RNA (tRNA) molecules are approximately 80 nucleotides in length. Their secondary structure includes four short double-helical elements and three loops (D, anti-codon, and T loops). The record is from RNAcentral. RNAcentral also lists the same sequence under 4 other names. Lineage: Bacteria; Bacillati; Bacillota; Clostridia; Lachnospirales; Lachnospiraceae.
GCGGAAGUGUCGGAAUUGGCAGACGAGCUAGAUUCAGGUUCUAGUGGCGGUUUUCGCCGUGAGGGUUCAAGUCCCUUCUUCCGCA